Molecule: long non-coding RNA, 5817 nt
Filed under: Podarcis lilfordi (Lilford's wall lizard)
Lineage: Eukaryota; Metazoa; Chordata; Lepidosauria; Squamata; Lacertidae
Source: RNAcentral
CGUAGCGGCACGAGCCUUAACAGUGAAGAACAAAAUCAGGCUAAGAAUAUCAGCUCAUAAUAGUUUCUCUGGUGAGAAAAGAAGAGCAAGCGAUUGUUGAUAUCUUUAGAAAUGUGUUUAUUUUGCUGGGAAUAUAUUAUCUCAACAGUGGUGCACAUUUUAGGCUCUGGACUGUAAUGAUUAUAGGGAAUCUUUCUUCUUCUUCUUCUUCUUCUUCUUCUUCUUCUUCUUGUUACAAUUUUUAUUUUAUUUUUUGAAAUAAUAUUUAUUAAGGUUUCAAAAACAGAAGAUUACAUAGAUAAAAAGAAAAGAAACAAAAGAAAAAAUAAAAAAUACAAAAUACAAAACACAGAAAAAAGAUAAAAAAAACACUUAAAAACAAAUCAGUCUUUCCGUACCUUACAUUUCAUUUCCUUGUUUCCCUGACCUCCUCUCACCUCCCUUUUUUGUAUUCCAGUUCAAUUGGUUAAUUCAGCAAUUCCUUUCCCUCUUUGUUUUUGUCUUAAUCCUUUAACUUAAUAUAUUAUAGCUUUGGAUUCUCACCUAUUAACAAUCCAUUUUUACAUACACCUUUAUAACAUUGCUGCUAAAACCACUUCUGACAUCAUUCUAACAUUCAUUAAUUUUGCAGUAUUUCUGUAAAUAAUCUUUAAAUUUCUUCCAAUCUUCUUCCACCGACUCUUCUCCCUGGUCUCGGAUUCUGCCAGUCAUUUCCGCCAAUUCCAUAUAGUCCAUCACCUUCAUCUGCCAUUCUUCCAGAGUGGGUAAAUCUUGUGUCUUCCAAUAUUUUGUAAUAAGUAUUCUUGCUGCUGUUGUGGAAUACAUAAAGAAAGUUCUGUCCUUCUUUGGCACCAAUUGGCCAACUAUGCCCAGGAGGAAGGCCUCUGGUUUCUUCAAGAAGGUAUAUUUAAAUACCUUUUUCAUUUCAUUAUAAAUCAUCUCCCAGAAAGCCUUAAUCCUUGGGCACAUCCACCAAAGGUGAAAGAAUGUACCUUCAGUUUCUUUACAUUUCCAACAUUUGUUAUCGGGCAAAUGAUAGAUUUUUGCAAGCUUGACUGGUGUCAUGUACCACCUGUAUAUCAUUUUCAUAAUAUUCUCUCUUAAGGCAUUACAUGCCGUAAACUUCAUACCUGUGGACCAUAACUGUUCCCAGUCAGCCAUCAUUAUGUUAUGUCCAACAUCUUGUGCCCAUUUAAUCAUAGCAGAUUUCACCGUUUCAUCCUGAGUAUUCCAUUUCAACAGCAAGUUAUACAUCUUUGACAAGAUCUUAGUUUUGGGUUCUAACAGUUCUGUUUCUAAUUUUGAUUUUUCCACCUGGAAGCCAAUUUUCUUGUCCAAAUUGUAUGCCUCCAUUAUCUGAUAAUAAUGAAGCCAAUCUCGCACUUUGUUUUUUAGUCUCUCAAAACUCUGCAGUUUCAAUCUAGCUCCCUCUUGUUCCAGAAUUUCCCAAUAUUUCGGCCAUUUGGCCUCCAUAUUGAGCUUUUUCUGUGCUUUCGCUUCCAUCGGUGACAGCCACCUUGGGGUUUUAUUUUCCAAUAGAUCCUUAUAUCUUAUCCAGACAUUAAACAAUGCUUUCCUGGCAAUAUGAUUUUUAAAUGCUUUAUGUGCUUUGACCUUAUCAUACCACAAAUAUGCAUGCCACUUCUUGUUACAAUUUUUACCCACUCUUCAUCAUCAGGUCCCAGGGCAGGUUAAAACUGUUUUAAAUAUAUAAUACUAAAAACCGAUUUUUAAAAAUACAGUUGCAAAAUUAGGGUGGAUCCUAAAAUAUUGUAUAUAUAAUAUACUGUACACAGGCUGAUUAUUACUAUUACUAUUUAUUACUUGUACACCGCCCAUCUGACUGGAUUGCCUCAGCGUCUUGGGACGGCUUCCAACAGAAUAUAAAAAACACAGCAAAACAUCAAACAUUUAAAACUUCUCUUCAGCAUAUAAUGAAAAUGACAUAGUUAAGGUGCUAGAUGUACCUCUUUGGGGAGGAAAUCCCACAACUUAGGAGCUGCCCCAGAGAAUGCUCUCUCCCAGGCUGACACCGUGACCCCAAGUUUCUGAGGACUAGAACAACAAAGAGCACCCCCCUCUGUCAAUCUUAACGCCUGAGAUGUUCUAUAGGGGAGGAAUCGUUCUUUCAGAUAUUUCGGUACUAAGUUAUUUCGAGCUUUAAACACUGAUGUGAGUGCCUUGAAUUGGGCCUGGAAACAAACUGGGAACCAAUUGCUUUUGAUGGUAAUGUGUAUAUAUGGUAUAUUACUUCAGUGCUUGGUUGCUGUAAGAACAGGAUGCUGGACUAGGUCGACCUUUUGGCAGCUGCCCCGCUAAAUAAAUAAAAAUCAAUACAAUUGAUUGCCCCCCCCAACAAAACCUGCCCCCUCCUAGCAAAAGGUGCCCCCCCUAACAAAAAUGCUGGGUACGCCCAUGGUUGACCCUGAUAAGUUUGAAGGCCCUCCUCCAUUCUAAUGGCUUAGGGCCAUGAAACUCCUGCCCUACCAGUACCUCUGUAUCUGAAUAUGCAUCAUAUAUUCUCUCCCUCCUCCACACCUGUUUACUGAGCCUUCAGCCUGAUCUGCUUGCAAAAAGCUUAUGCAGAGCUUAGACCACGUCUGGUCUUUAUUGAGCAUUAAUUCUGAUUUGUUUGCAGGGCAGUAUAUGACAAUCAGCCCUUGUCCUUUCGCUGUUCUUAUACAUUUUCCCAUUGGCCAAUCGUUUAUCUAACACAGAGCUUUCCGAACUUAGUGUGUCAGCUGCAAUGUGGAGGUGUGUCGCGCGAACGCUCCCCACUCUCCUCCCAUGGCUGAAAAUGGGUUAGUUAAAUCUCCAGUUUGCUAGUAAAACUGAAUUACUGUGUUGCAAAAUGAUGCAUAUCUAAAAGUGUGUCACCAACAUGAAAAGUUUGGAAAUCUCUGAACACUUCUCAGUGUGCUUCCCCAUCACUUUCCUAACCACAAAACAGCAUUUUUAAAAGGUAUAUUUGUUGUGCUAUGGCGACAGAGCACUUUGACCCACAUUAAUUGUGCAAACCAAAAUUUCCAGUAUGUACUUGAAUCCCUUGCCUCCCACUCACACCUCUAUCUAAAUAAGCCCUGUACAGUAAGCGGGGGUUACGGUAUGUUCCAGGCCCCUGCUCGCAUUAGCAAAAUGUGUGUAAGUAGGGAGCACCCUCUAAACAACUAUUUUUACCUGCUCUCCAUGCUCUUUUUCUUUUAUACAGUGCCUUUGCCUCCAAAUCACCAGAAAGGUCAGGGAACACUGCAAUCCAGCUUCCCCAACAGCUGUUGAACAGCGUAGUGCAGCAGCAGUGAGAGCUCCCAUGCGCUGUUUUGGAGCCAAUAAGUUGGUUUUCAAAGCUUUGUUUCUGGACUUUUGGCUCACUGGUGUUCUCUUCAGGCUCUAGGGAUGGUCUCCUCAUGAGCCACGAGGACUUUCUGGCUCUCUCUCCCCACUUCCAGGUUUGAAUUGAAUUAAUUUAUUUGUUUCCCAGCACCUCAAGUAUACGUGUUUGCACGCAGGUCAAUCAUGCGUAAGUGGGGGAUGCCUGUAUUUGAAGAGCUGUCUGGAUGAAGUCCAGCUUAAAAAUAAAUGAAGAGCCUUAAAUCACGUUCACACCAUAUGCUUAAAGCACAGAGAUUCCCCCAAAGAAUCCUGGGAACUGUCAUUUGUUAAGGGUGCUGGGAACCACAACUCUCUGAGGGGGUAAAUUGCAGUUCCUAUGGUUAUUUGGAGGAAGCCAUGUGCUUUAAACUUAUGGUGUGGAUGUCACCUUGGGCAAUAUAAGACCAAAAGCAGGGGGAAAUGGAAAUGAGAGUGCAGUUCAAUGAUUUGUCAGCGGGUCAUUAUAUCAGUGAACAGUUGUUGUGUCAAGGCUGUGAAAAGGAAUACCACAUAAUGAUUAAACAGGUGCACUGUCCAGCCUCAAAGGUUCAGUCCCAAAAUAACUUUAGAAGGGGAGAAAGAGGCACAAUCUUACUUGGGCCCAUUUUUUCCUUUCUUUGCCACUUGGCAUGAGUGGCUGCUAGGCUAAUUUUAGGUAGGUUGCCAAGGCACCACCAGGCGAAGUCAGAAGCCAAGCUUCUAAUUAUAGCCGAGAAACUAAUCUUUUUGCUUUCCCUCUGCAGCCCAGAGCACCAGCAGCUACAAUGUGGACAAAACAGACUCGGUUUUUAAUUUAUAUUGUACCCCAGGAUUCUCAAGUCAGGCAUAGUGUGCUAUUGUAAAAUCAUGAGAUUUUAAUAUUAUCAGUGGCAGCUGGUCAUUUAGGGCAAAUGGGACACUGCGCUACCAACCUCAGACAACCCUCACCUGCCUUGCUUCCUACUGACAACCAGGCCAGGGGGUGGCACUGCUUGCCAGCUCUCUUCUCCUUAGGUCUUAUCCAUGCCCCCAUUUCCCUCGCCACUUUUACCUGGGGCAACCUGUUAUUUAGCACUGAAUCGGAACAAAUAGCAUUCGGGUUUUCUGUGGAUUGCUGCUUGUUCUGAUUUAGUGCUAAAGAGUGGGUUGACCUAGGGGAAGUUGUGGAGCAAGGGCACAACUGCUCAGACCCAUGCCUUGUAGAAUUCAACAGGGAGGAGGGUGGGAACAAAGCAGAAUUAGUUGGCUCCAGCUGUCAUUGGCUCUAGCUCUGGCUUUGCCUACUGCUGGGCUCCCUGCCUUUUACGUAUGCAGUCCAAAUGGGCAUUAGCCACCACUGAAUGUAUUUAAAAUCUUCUGGUUACUUUAGUUCAGGACCGUCUCCUCUGUAACUCCAUAUCCUUAAAAACAGACUCAAAUUUUAUCCUACUUAAGCCUUUGUGUAUUUAAAAUCUCCACGAUUUUCUGCUGGUUCUCUCCCACACCCCUCAAUCCCCACUGACUGUUAAGCCUUGCAUUGUCUUUAUCUAACCUGUGCUCACUUUUCCCCUGCACUCACUUCUUUAUCAUGUCUUCCUAUCUUUAUUUUAAUCAUAGAUAACUAGCACAGGUUACCAAUUUCACACACACACACACAUACAGACCCUGCUGCCAAAGAACCUUGGGAUUUAUUUGUUUUCUUAUAUUUCUGUCCCACUUUUCUUCCAUCAUGGAAUCCCAAAUUGUGUCCAUGUCACUCCCAGGCAGUCGCACAUCCAGCUACUUGCCAGAUCCAUACCUCCAUAUGGGAGUUUUUUGUAUACUUCAGUGCUGCUGAUGCAUGCAAGUUUUUCAUAGCAUCCAUGCAAUGCUGUCAUUGAACUACCAUCCACUAUUAUUUUCCCAUUUAAUUUUCCUUUCCGGUGAGAAAUCUAAUCAGCAUAAAAAGCCCACCAUGUAUGGAGACUCCAUACAUUAAAGCAGGGCUGGGGAACCUCUAGCCCAUGGGCCAACUUUGCUUUGACAAGGGCCCUAAUCUUUUCCUAUACCACAUACACCUGCCCCACAUCUGACAGAAUGUGACAUCAGGUGUGGUGGCAUGACUCAGUUCCUUGUCAGGAACUCGAUCAUACAGCCAAUUCCUGCAGAGUGCAAGUUGAUCAGCAGCCCUUCAAAGCACCAUGUGGGGCUCUUUGCAAACCUCACAUGGUGCUUUGAAGUCCUGACCAGCAAUGCUAGGUGCUUGCCAGGUGCACAACCCCACCUACCUGUCAAAUUUGCCCCUGGAAGUGGGAGAAGGAUCUGGCCUACAGGCCAGAACAGACUUCCCACCCCUGCAGUAAAUGAACCCAACUUAGGUUUAUUGUAUGACCAUUGCCAUCCCUCUCCAUGUCUUAUUUAAGGGACUGAUUAAUAGGAAGCCUAAAGUCAUUGUUUAUUUAUUUAAUGUACUUUAUUGUUAACUGUGGAUGUCUGUUUAAUGGAAGUGCC